This is an RNA transcript of Manihot esculenta (cassava), 950 nucleotides long. It is a transcript of the gene named superoxide dismutase [Cu-Zn] 2, with no coding region annotated. The transcript has 8 exons. NCBI's taxonomy places the organism in Eukaryota, Viridiplantae, Streptophyta, Magnoliopsida, Malpighiales, Euphorbiaceae. The record is from RefSeq and is a predicted model, not a curated record.
ACUAGAAAGAGGAUAGGACAAGCAAGGCGCUUCCAGAAUUUGUUGUAGAUAGGCCAAACGGAGAGCGGAGAUGCUUACUUUGACGAAUUAGUUGCGGAACAAAACAUUAGAAAUGGCAGGAGCAGGUGCUGUGAAAGCGGUGGCACUCAUCACCGGAGAACCCCAUGUCAAAGGCUCUCUUCAGUUCGUCCAACGCCCCAAUGGGCCUACCCAUAUCACAGGGAAGAUAACAGGCCUAUCACCAGGCCUUCAUGGCUUCCAUAUUCAUGCUCUUGGUGACACCACCAAUGGCUGUAAUUCCACUGGACCUCAUUUCAAUCCAUUGAAGAAGGACCAUGGAAGUCCAGCGGAUGAAGAACGUCACGCAGGGGAUUUGGGCAACAUUUUUGCUGGCUCAGAUGGAAUAGCUGAGAUCUCAGUUAAGGACAUGCAGAUACCACUGAGUGGGCCACAUUCCAUAUUGGGGAGGGCGGUUGUUGUGCAUGCUGAUCCUGAUGAUCUUGGAAAAGGAACCGUGUUGCCCAUUUUUGGAUAGCCAUUUGAGGAGGUUGAAAUAUCAGUUUGGAUUGGAGUCUUGCUUUCAUGGAAAUGUGGACAUGAACUUAGCAAGACUACUGGGAAUGCUGGUGCCAGAGUUGGAUGUGGCAUCAUUGGACUUCAAUCAUCUGUUUAGAUUGAUAAGAUGUUUUUCUGGGAAAAGGAAAAUGAAGAAAGAAAAUUUUCGUAAAUUUUGCUGGGCCUGUCAAUUACACAUUGCUGAAGUUGUAGCAUUUCACUCAAAAUUAUGUAAUGUAGUCACUCAAUAAACAAAUUGUCAAUAUAUCAUAAUGGACUUUGAAAGCUUUAUUGUACUACAUCUGAUACCUGAAAGAUACACUUUCAUAUGGCAAUUGAUGUCUCUAUUCCAUAAUUAAUAAAUUGCAUGACCACUCAGGCUGGUUUUCAAGUGA